Molecule: unclassified non-coding RNA, 23 nt
Filed under: Chlamydomonas reinhardtii
Lineage: Eukaryota; Viridiplantae; Chlorophyta; Chlorophyceae; Chlamydomonadales; Chlamydomonadaceae
Description: small RNA Cre_0388
Source: RNAcentral
ACUGGCGACUUAAUAGCUGCGGU